RNAcentral lists this ribosomal RNA (600 nucleotides) under Dibothriocephalus latus. RNAcentral describes it as "eukaryotic LSU rRNA". It matches the Rfam family "Eukaryotic large subunit ribosomal RNA", at positions 1 to 523 of the family's 3401-position model. Lineage: Eukaryota; Metazoa; Platyhelminthes; Cestoda; Diphyllobothriidea; Diphyllobothriidae. The record is from RNAcentral. RNAcentral also lists the same sequence under 1 other name.
CGGAUCAGUCGUGAUUACCCGCUGAACUUAAGCAUAUCACUAAGCGGAGGAAAAGAAACUAACCAGGAUUCCCCUAGUAACGGCGAGUGAAGAGGGAAUAGCCCAGCACCGAAGCCUGCGGUAGUUUUACUGCUAGGCAAUGUGGUGUUUGGGUCGGCUCGCGGGAUUGCCACUCCACUCGAAGUCCAGCACUGAGUAUGGUUCCCUGGAUUUGGCCCAGAGAGGGUGAAAGGCCCGUGCGAGUGGAGGUUCAGACAUGUGAGGCAAUUCACCAGGCCGACCUUCGAGUCGGGUUGUUUGGGAAUGCAGCCCAAAGCGGGUGGUAAACUCCAUCCAAGGCUAAAUACAAGCACGAGUCCGAUAGCGAACAAGUACCGUGAGGGAAAGUUGAAAAGUACUUUGAAGAGAGAGUAAACAGUACGUGAAACCGCAUAGAGGUAAACGGGUGGCGUCAAGCUGCAAGCCUAGAGGAUUCAGUUGGUCGGUGUGUAUGCGCGCCUGGCGCGUCUGUCGGACGGAUAGUCCACUGCGAAAAGGUGGGCCUGGCCUUCUUUCGGGAGGGUUAGGAUCGGUGUCCCGGGAGGUUGCCGGAGCCGGCUG